UAUUACUUAUUUGCAAAUUAUCUUUCAUCUUUAAUUAUUUCAGGAAUCUUACAAUUAUAGUUAAAAUCACGUUAAAGUUAUUGUUUUGUUAAUACAUAUUUAAAGCUGCGCUCUCACAGAUUGAGCGUUUUGACAACUUUUCUAUUUUAUUGUCUUGAAACGAGCCAAUUUUUGCGAAAAUCCUUAUAAACCAGUUAUAUAAGACAGCUGACAAAAUAUUAGAUCUCAGAUUUUAAUAAAUAAGUUCCAAAAUUGAUGUUUUAUGCAUUUUUCAUUAACUGUUACUAACGGUCUAAGCCAUAAAUAUUAAUUUUCGGAAAAAUGAAAAUCUACGAUCUGAUUUUUUUGUCAGCAAUCUUCUAUCAUUGGUUUACAUAUAUCUAUGCAAAACAUUGCCCUUUCCAAGACAAAAAAUAAAAAAAAGUUGCAAAAAUGGUAAAUCUGUGAGAGUGCAGCUUUAAAAUUCCAUUACAAGAUGCUUUUUUGGAAAUUUGGUAAAAUUGUUUUACAGAUGAUUCAGCUGAUUGGUGAUUAAGCCAUAGUUUUUUUUCUGGGGUUGACACCUUUACUUAAAAUAGUAAGAUUUCUUACCUGCCUCAAAUGAAUAUCAUGGAUGUAUCGGUCAAUAUUUUUUUAAUAAAGGUGUUAUUAAAUUUGAAUAAAAAUGAGCAUAUAAUGAUGUUAUUCUAAAAGAAUUGGUGAUUCUCAGGUCAUUUAUAUGUAUAUUUUUUAUUUUAAAUAACACUUAUGUAUUUAUAUGUGAAUAUAUUUUACUGCAGAAACGAAACAAGUCCAUCAUCUUUGGUGCUGCACCAUACUGCCAAAACAGCUACAUGUUCAUCGUUUGCAGUUAUGUCAAUUUACCUCCAACAUAGUGUUUCCUGCAAUGUCCCAGGGGGCUGCCAUGAUUCCAAAAAGUACAACACCAACUGCAGCAAAAGUGACAAGAGUUUCCAAGAUUCCAUCUACAAGCAACUUGAAAAGACUUCUUAAAUGCCAGAGUGAGCUCUAUGAGCAAAUAUUACAUCAACAAAAACUGACAAUUGACUGUCUCCUUUAUUACAAUUUAUUUCAUGAAUGAUAACUUAAAUAAAAUGUGACUCAGCAACUGUUUUAAAUCAACAAACAUUCUAACAUAAACCUCUUAAAAGUCUUAUAGUAGAAUCAUAUACCUGGAAGUCUUUGAUUAUUUUAUCUACUUAAAAAACUCACAAUCCACUUAAAUAUUGCUGACACUUGAAGCUUUUCAUAUUUUAUUCACUAUUGCAUUUAAUAAAUCUUUAUUUACCUGUCAACCUAUUCAUAUUCAAGUAUAAAUCUAAUAUUAAAAUACAUAUGGAAAAGCACUUUCAUUUAAAGUGACAUCUAUCAAACAUUGUAAUCACAAAAAAGGGGCUCAUAAUCAUACAUUUUAUGAUAUGGUAUUUUUUUACCAAUAGCUGAAUGUGUAAAUUGGUUAUUGUUUAGAGAGAUAAUAUGUCAAUUUAUUUGUUUUGUAAAUGUGUUUUUAAAUUGUUAUUUAUACUGUCAACACUAUUUUAACAUAUUUAUGAUUGUCAGCCUUCAUGUACUGUUUUGUUCAUUGUUAUAAUCAUCUUCUCCAUAAGUAAUGUCAGUGAUUAUCAAAAUGAUACCGCAUCAAAUUCAUGUAUAAUCAUUUUUAAAGGGACUUGUUCAUGUUUUAUAUGGUUAGACAUUGAUUUUUUUAUUUCCUAUGAAAUGUGAACAAAAUGCUUGUAGCAAUGAUAAAACACUACAAAAGUUUAAAUAAGCUCAGAAAAUAUGGCAUAAAAUGCUUUAUUUUGCCAAAGUCAGGCUAUUUAAAAUUAAAUCAUUUUAGGCUUAGAUUUACUAUUAAAAUGUUGUUCAUAUGAUUAUAGCAGUUGCUUUUUGGUCUUUCUUCAUAAAAGUUGGUAAAAUAAUUCAAUUUCAGCAAUUUGAAAAUAAAUAAUCUAUUAACAGUCCCUUUCUGAUAAUGAUUGCUACUAUUGUGUUGUUGUUUUUCAAGUUAAACUUGAUGUAAAAUGUCAAUUUUAAAUUCACACAAAUAAAGUUUUCACUUAUUUCACAGAUAGAUAUGUUUUACCUUUGUCUUUUCACUUUGUUGAAAUAAUAAUAAUGAUACAUCUAUGGAAUUCAAAUAUUAGCACAAACACUUCAUGUUAUUGAGAUAUUGAGAUGCACACUUUCUAUUUUGUAUUGAAUAAUUAAUAAAAUCCCUAGAAUGACAUUUUA
Long non-coding RNA from Mya arenaria, 2235 nucleotides. RefSeq lists it as uncharacterized. The record is from RefSeq and is a predicted model, not a curated record. The transcript has 2 exons. Lineage: Eukaryota; Metazoa; Mollusca; Bivalvia; Myida; Myidae.